RNAcentral lists this ribosomal RNA (253 nucleotides) under uncultured bacterium. RNAcentral describes it as "partial 16S ribosomal RNA". It matches the Rfam family "Bacterial small subunit ribosomal RNA", at positions 524 to 776 of the family's 1533-position model. The record is from RNAcentral.
UACGUAGGGGGCAAGCGUUGUCCGGAAUUACUGGGCGUAAAGGGCUCGUAGGCGGCCAACUAAGUCAGACGUGAAAUCCCUCAGCUUAACUGGGGAACUGCGUCUGAUACUGGAUGGCUUGGAUUCGGGAGAGGAAUGCGGAAUUCCAGGUGUAGCGGUGAAAUGCGUAGAUAUCUGGAGGAACACCGGUGGCGAAGGCGGCAUUCUGGACCGAUAUUGACGCUGAGGAGCGAAAGCCAGGGGAGCAAACGGG